GCCAGUGUGGUGCUGUGGACUGAGUGCUGGACUAUGACUCUGGAGACCAGGGUUCUAAUCCCCGCUGAGCCA
This is a non-coding RNA of Phrynosoma platyrhinos (Desert horned lizard), 72 nucleotides long. The record is from the annotation of a GenBank genome assembly. NCBI's taxonomy places the organism in Eukaryota, Metazoa, Chordata, Lepidosauria, Squamata, Phrynosomatidae.